This 147-nucleotide unclassified non-coding RNA is filed under the name uncultured Ascomycota. Its description in RNAcentral is "sequence contains ITS2". Lineage: Eukaryota; Fungi; Ascomycota. The record is from RNAcentral.
GUACCCUCAAGCUUUGCUUGGUGUUGGGCGUCUUGUCGUAUUACGACUCGCCUUAAAUUCAUUGGCAGCCGGCACUUUGGCCUAGGAGCGCAGCACAUUUUGCGAUCGUAGCCCGUUGUACUGGCGUCCAUCAAGAACAUUUACCAC